This is a long non-coding RNA of Phlebotomus papatasi, 2321 nucleotides long. RefSeq lists it as uncharacterized. The record is from RefSeq and is a predicted model, not a curated record. The transcript has 2 exons. NCBI's taxonomy places the organism in Eukaryota, Metazoa, Arthropoda, Insecta, Diptera, Psychodidae.
UGUAACUCCGACGAUUGCAAAACUCGGACGCCGCGACCGAUUUAACUCCGAUACAUCCACUUAAAAUAUAAUUUAUAUUUUUAUUUCUGUAAUUAAUUACUGAAGUAUCAUAUUAUAACUAUUCUACUUUAAGAAAAACCAAAAAUUAUAUUUUUAUCGGUUUAAUAAGUGGGUAAAAGAAAUAUUUUUUAAGCUCGGGUCAGCUGGGUUGUGUACUAAAAAUUUAAUUUCUGAGAAAAUUUUGCUGUUGACAGCUCGUCGCUGGAAAAAGUUUAGUGUUUUUUCUAUAUAAUAAAACAUUAUUUGCAAUCAAAAUUAUUAAUAAAAGUUAGUGUAGUUAUUGAUCUACAAGAUGCCAAAGGGAACAAAAGAAAAGACCUAUAAGGACAAGCCCGACUCUAAGGAAGGUAUUAGGAAUGCCUUGCAGUGUGUACGAGAUGGUUCUACCAUAGCAUAUGCAUCCAAAACAUUUAAUGUCCCAAGAACAACACUGCACAACAAAUUGACCGGCAAAUACCCAGAGGAGUGCCCCAAUGGCAGGCCAACAAUUCUUUCAAAAGAACAGGAAAAAGAACUUGUCAAAUGGAUCCUGGGAUGUGCGGAUGGCUGGCAUCCCAUCGGGAAGGAACAAGUUCUGGACAGCGUUAAACUCAUCUGUGAGGUCUACAAAAUUCCAAACCAUUUUACAGCUGGAAGACCCGGAGACGUUUAGUUCAGGAAUUUUCUUAAGCGUCAUCCAGAGCUUAGCAUGCGCAAGCCAAAAUCCUUCUCAUUGGAAAGAGCUACUGUUACUGCUGAAGACCUCACGGAAUGGUUUCAGAAUUGUCUUGGAUAUUUCACAGAACACAACCUUCUGAGCAUUUUACCAGACCGUGUUUUUAAUUGCGACGAAAGUGCCUUCUUUUUGACACCGGAAGAUGGAAAUGUCCUGUCCAGGAGAGGUUCACGUGUAGUUCCAUCUCUUAAAAAUUCAGGACCGAAGCAAUGUAUCACAGUACUCCUCAGGGUGUCAGCUACUGGCGAACUUGCUCCUCCAAUGGCUGUUCAUAAAACUGACAUUACUCCAAAAAUUGCCAUUCACAACGCAGAAGGAUGGAAAAUGGGAACGUCACCACAGAGUAGAGAUGUGCGCCAAGCCGAUUUUAGCCGCUCGGCGCGAGCCGCCGCGAUUUUUGCUUAGCCGCCGCCGCCAAAAAUUUUUAAUGCGCGCCGCGGCGAAUUUUGUUUAUAUUUCAAUUCAAUUAAGUAAUUUUUCUGACAAUAACCAUAAUAAACAAUUUUCAUUCUUAUGAAAAAAAAAAUGUAUAGUUAGGAUAGUUAGUAAUUAUACUAUCUAUUGUCAAGAAGCUUUUGCUUAAAAAAAUUUGGAUAUAAGGUAAAGUAUCCUGGAGUCGAUCGCCUCUCGAGUAGACCACCCUGGGGUCCUCAAGUCGACCGGUGGAAAUAUUUAUUUAAUUUAUUUGCAUUUACAAUAAUAUUUAGCGAAUGAUUUAACAUCAUAGGGCCAAUUAUUUCAUAAUUAAUUCAAAUCAGUGAAAAUAUCAUAGAAAUUGACCAUAAAACCCUGAAAAAAAUCAUAAAAAUACGGAGCGUUAAAGUAUUUCUUAAAAAAAAAAUCGCAAUUUUUCAUCAAAUUAUGGCAUACUUUUUGAUAUUCUUGACUUUUUUCUUAAGGAAUUAUUUCAAUUAUUACCCUUACAGAUUACUGGAGAAUUCAAAUUGUUACUUGUGCAAAAAUUUUACUUCCAUGACUAAGUUGAAGAUUAAUUUUAUAUAUUAAAAUUGAAAGUGCAUUUCAAAUAAAUUGUUCCUCAAUUCGACCGGUCGACGAAUCAUAGCAAGUGAAGCUUUUUUCACUUGAACGUUGUUCUAUACUUCCGAAUGAAUUCAUAAAAGUGAGUUUCCCUAUUUAUUUUAUUGAUUAACUAAAUUUUAAGUGCUAUUCAUGAUGUAUUAAACAAGCCAAAGUUAAAUCAGUGACUUUUUAGUUUUGUGAUUUGUUUAAUUUUAAGAAAAAUUGGUGGUCGAGUAGAGGAACCCCAGGCGGUCGAGGAGGAAUACUGAUAUUGAAGUGGUCGAGUAGAGGAACACUUCGCACUUUUAAAACAUUUUAACUUUUCCUAAUGUAAAAUUAUAUUAUGACUAAAUGAAGUUAACAAUUAGAUAAGAAUCUAUUCUAUAGUUUUAGGCAAAAACCCUAUCAAACAACACAAAUUAUAACUGUUUUUUCAUAAUUUUUUCACAAAAUCUAUCCUUAAGUGGUCGACAUAGGAUACUUUACCUUAUUAUAAAAAAUAAUAAUAAUAAAAAUCAUUCAUCAA